GGGUCGCUAGCUCAGUCGGUAGAGCAGCGGACUUUUAAUCCGUUGGUCCCGCGUUCGAGUCGCGGACGACCCACCA
This 76-nucleotide transfer RNA is filed under the name Acinetobacter sp. CIP 102143. Its description in RNAcentral is "tRNA-Lys". It matches the Rfam family "tRNA". Rfam says of the family: Transfer RNA (tRNA) molecules are approximately 80 nucleotides in length. Lineage: Bacteria; Pseudomonadati; Pseudomonadota; Gammaproteobacteria; Moraxellales; Moraxellaceae. The record is from RNAcentral.